This 326-nucleotide ribosomal RNA is filed under the name uncultured eukaryote. Its description in RNAcentral is "partial 18S ribosomal RNA". It matches the Rfam family "Eukaryotic small subunit ribosomal RNA", at positions 1470 to 1796 of the family's 1831-position model. The record is from RNAcentral.
CCCUUAGAUGUUCUGGGCCGCACGCGCGCUACACUGAUGCAUUCAACGAGCCUAUCCUUGACCGACAGGUCCGGGUAAUCUUUGAAUCUGCAUCGUGACGGGGAUAGAUUAUUGCAAUUAUUAAUCUUCAACGAGGAAUGCCUAGUAGGCGCAAGUCAUCAGCUUGCAUUGAUUACGUCCCUGCCCUUUGUACACACCGCCCGUCGCACCUACCGAUUGAAUGACUCGGUGAAAAAUUGGGACCGUGAGUCUGUUUGCUUCAUUGCGAGUGGAUUGAUGGGAACUUUUUUAAACCUCGCCAUUUAGAGGAAGGUGAAGUCGUAACA